UGGUUGUCGUCAGCUCGUGUCGUGAGAUGUUGGGUUAAGUCCCGCAACGAGCGCAACCCUUAUCUUCAGUAGCCAGCAGGUAAAGCCGGGCACUCUGGAGAGACUGCCGGGGAUAACCCGGAGGAAGGUGGGGAUGACGUCAAAUCAUCAUGCCCCUUAUGAUUUGGGCUACACACGUGCUACAAUGGCGUAAACAGAGGGAAGCGAGCCCGCGAGGGGGAGCAAAUCCCAAAAAUAACGUCCCAGUUCGGAUUGUAGUCUGCAACCCGACUACAUGAAGCUGGAAUCGCUAGUAAUCGCGGAUCAGAAUGCCGCGGUGAAUACGUUCCCGGGUCUUGUACACACCGCCCGUCACACCAUGGGAGUCGGAAAUGCCCGAAGUCUGUGACCUAACCGUAAGGGAGGAGCAGCCGAAGGCAGGUCGGAUGACUGGGGUGAAGUCGUAACAAGGUAGCCGUAUCGGAAGGUGCGGCUGGAUCACCUC
Molecule: ribosomal RNA, 484 nt
Filed under: uncultured bacterium
Lineage: Bacteria
Description: bacterial SSU rRNA
Rfam family: Bacterial small subunit ribosomal RNA
Source: RNAcentral